CGGUGGUGAUGUCCAACCUCACGAUGGUCUUCAGAGCCCCCCAGCACGGGUCUGCUGACAAAGCCAGUGGCAAAUGCUGAACCGGAGAC
This is a small nucleolar RNA of Amazona collaria (yellow-billed parrot), 89 nucleotides long. The record is from Ensembl. NCBI's taxonomy places the organism in Eukaryota, Metazoa, Chordata, Aves, Psittaciformes, Psittacidae.